This 406-nucleotide ribosomal RNA is filed under the name uncultured bacterium. RNAcentral's name for it is "partial 16S ribosomal RNA". It matches the Rfam family "Bacterial small subunit ribosomal RNA", at positions 30 to 526 of the family's 1533-position model. The record is from RNAcentral.
AUUGAACGCUGGCGGCAGGCCUAACACAUGCAAGUCGAACGAGUGGCGGACGGGUGAGUAAUGUCUGGGAAACUGCCUGAUGGAGGGGGUUAACUACUGGAAACGGUAGCUAAUACCGCAUACCAUCGGAUGUUCCCAGCUGGGAUUAGCUAGUAGGUGGGGUAAAGGCUCACCUAGGCGACGAUCCCUAGCUGGUCUGAGAGGGUGACCGGCCACACUGGAACUGAGACACGGUCCAGACUCCUACGGGAGGCAGCAGUGGGGAAUAUUGCACAAUGGGCGAAAGCCUGAUACAGCAAUGCCGCGUGUGUGAAGAAGGCCUUCGGGUUGUAAAGUACUGUCAGCAGGGAGGCGUUACCCGAAGAGGAAGCAACGGCUAACUCCGUGCCAGCAGCCGCGGUAAUAC